This 254-nucleotide ribosomal RNA is filed under the name uncultured bacterium. Its description in RNAcentral is "partial 16S ribosomal RNA". It matches the Rfam family "Bacterial small subunit ribosomal RNA", at positions 524 to 776 of the family's 1533-position model. The record is from RNAcentral.
UACGUAGGGUGCAAGCGUUGUCCGGAAUUAUUGGGCGUAAAGAGCUCGUAGGCGGUCUGUCGCGUCUGCUGUGAAAACCUGGGGCUUAACCCCGGGCCUGCAGUGGGUACGGGCAGACUAGAGUGUGGUAGGGGGAGACUGGAAUUCCUGGUGUAGCGGUGAAAUGCGCAGAUAUCAGGAGGAACACCGGUGGCGAAGGCGGGUCUCUGGGCCAUAACUGACGCUGAGGAGCGAAAGCGUGGGGAGCGAACAGG